GAUGAACGCUGGCGGCGUGCCUAAUACAUGCCAGUCGAGCGAACGGACGAGAAGCUUGCUUCUCUGAUGUUAGCGGCGGACGGGUGAGUAACACGUGGAUAACCUACCUAUAAGACUGGGAUAAUUUCGGGACACCGGAGCUAACACCGGAUGAUAUUUUGAACCGCAUGGUUCAAAAGUGAAAGACGGCCUUGCUGUCACUUCUAGAUGGUUCCGCGCUGCAUUAGCUAGUUGGUAGGGUAACGGCUUACCAAGGCAACGAUGCAUAACCGACCUUGGAGGGGGAUCGGCCACAGUGAAACUGAGAGACGGUCCAGGCACCUAGGGAAGGCAGCGGUAGGGAAUCGUGCGCAAUGGGCGAAAGCCUGACGAAGCAACGCCGGGUGGGUGAUGAAGGGCUUCGGAUCGUAAAACUCUGUUAUUAGGGAAGAACAUAUGUGUAAGUAACGGUGCACAUCUUGACGGUACCUAAUCAGAAAGCCACGGCUAACUACGG
This 496-nucleotide ribosomal RNA is filed under the name uncultured bacterium. RNAcentral's name for it is "partial 16S ribosomal RNA". It matches the Rfam family "Bacterial small subunit ribosomal RNA", at positions 28 to 506 of the family's 1533-position model. The record is from RNAcentral.